CAGCCGCCGCGGUAAUACCGGCGGCCCGAGUGGCGGUCACUAUUAUUGGGCUUAAAGCGUCCGUAGCCGGGUUGGGAAGUCCUCCGGGAAAUCUGGCCGCUUAACGGUCAGAAUGCCGGAGGAUACUCCCAGCCUAGGGAGCGGGAGAGGCCGAGGGUAUUCCCGGAGUAGGGGUGAAAUCCUAUAAUCCCGCGAGGGCCACCUGUGGCGAAGGCGCUCGGCUGGAACGCGUCCGACGGUGAGGGACGAAGGCCAGGGGAGCAAACCGGAUUAGAUACCCGGGUAGUCCUGGCUGUAAACGAUGCGGACUUUGUGUCGGACAAGCUAUGAGCUUGUCCGGUGCCGGAGGGAAACCGUUAAGUCCGCCGCCUGGGGAGUACGGCCGCAAGGCUGAAACUUAAAGGAAUUGGCGGG
This 414-nucleotide ribosomal RNA is filed under the name uncultured microorganism. RNAcentral's name for it is "bacterial SSU rRNA". It matches the Rfam family "Archaeal small subunit ribosomal RNA", at positions 459 to 872 of the family's 1478-position model. The record is from RNAcentral.